UACGUAGGGUGCAAGCGUUAUCCGGAAUUAUUGGGCGUAAAGAGCUCGUAGGCGGUCUGUCGCGUCGGCUGUGAAAUCCCGAGGCUCAACCUCGGGUCUGCAGUCGAUACGGGCAAACUAGAGUAUUGCAGGGGAGACUGGAAUUCCUGGUGUAGCGGUGAAAUGCGCAGAUAUCAGGAGGAACACCGGUGGCGAAGGCGGGUCUCUGGGCAAUAACUGACGCUGAGGAGCGAAAGCGUGGGGAGCGAACAGG
This 253-nucleotide ribosomal RNA is filed under the name uncultured bacterium. RNAcentral's name for it is "partial 16S ribosomal RNA". It matches the Rfam family "Bacterial small subunit ribosomal RNA", at positions 524 to 776 of the family's 1533-position model. The record is from RNAcentral.